Molecule: ribosomal RNA, 275 nt
Filed under: uncultured bacterium
Lineage: Bacteria
Description: partial 16S ribosomal RNA
Rfam family: Bacterial small subunit ribosomal RNA
Source: RNAcentral
GCGUGAGUGAAGAAGGCCCUAGGGUUGUAAAGCUCUUUCACCGGGGAAGAUAAUGACGGUACCCGGGGAAGAAGCCCCGGCUAACUCCGUGCCAGCAGCCGCGGUAAUACGGAGGGGGCUAGCGUUGUUCGGAAUUACUGGGCGUAAAGCGCGCGCAGGCGGUUGAUCAAGUUGGGCGUGAAAGCCCAGGGCUUAACCCUGGAACUGCGCUCAAUACUGGUCGGCUCGAGUCCGGGAGAGGGUAGCGGAAUUCCCAGUGGAGAGGUGAAAUUCGU